RNAcentral lists this ribosomal RNA (278 nucleotides) under uncultured bacterium. RNAcentral's name for it is "partial 16S ribosomal RNA". It matches the Rfam family "Bacterial small subunit ribosomal RNA", at positions 80 to 354 of the family's 1533-position model. The record is from RNAcentral.
UACUCCCGCCGGCGACCGGCGCACGGGUGAGUAACACGUAUGAAACCUGCCCGUAGCAGGGGGAUAAGCGGAAGAAAUUCCGUCUAAUACCGCGUAACAACCCGAGGAGGCAUCUCCUCGGGUUUAAAGGAAGCGAUUCCGGCUACGGAUGGUCAUGCGUCGCAUUAGCUAGUUGGCGGGGUAACGGCCCACCAAGGCGACGAUGCGUAGGGGUACUGAGAGGAAGGUCCCCCACACUGGUACUGAGACACGGACCAGACUCCUACGGGAGGCAGCAG